This 1543-nucleotide long non-coding RNA is filed under the name Durio zibethinus. RNAcentral's name for it is "long non-coding RNA (DZIB_LNC001849)". The record is from RNAcentral. Lineage: Eukaryota; Viridiplantae; Streptophyta; Magnoliopsida; Malvales; Malvaceae.
GAGAUUUUGAUAUAAAAGAAUUUUUAAUAUGUGGAUAAGGAAAAUAUUUGAGUAAACUUUUAAAAUUGCAAUGCCUCUAUAAAGAAGAAGCCUUUUUAGUGAAUUUUUUAAAAUUUCAAAUGUGAAUCUUUUAAAUGUAAAUUUUUAAAUUUUGGAUGUAAAUUUUUUAAAUGCGAAUCUCUAAAUGUGAAUCUUUCCUAUGCGAAUUUUUUGAAUUUUAGUUGUCAAUUUCUAAAUUUUUUAAUGAAAAAUUUUAAAAUUUAAAAGUGAAUUUUUAAAAAUUUUUAUUUUGGAUGUGAAUUUUUUAAAAUUUUCAAAUGUGAUUUUUUUAAUUUUGAAUGUGAAAGUUUGAAAUUUUAUUUGUGAAUCUUUGAAAUUAUUUGUAAAUCUUUAUAAUUGCAAAACUUUGUAAUUUCUUUUGUGAAUCUUUGAAAUUAUUUAUAAAUUUUUGAAUUUUCACGUCUCUUUAAAUUCAUGCAAAUUUUUUAUUUAUUGUAAAAUUAUUUUUUGAUUCACGGGGCUUUAAUUGUGCCAUUGAAUCUUAAGCUCAUUUAGAACGCCCAAGGUUUUUAUUUAUCCUUUUCCUUUUAUUUUAUUUUAUUUUUUAUUUUUAUUUUUUUGGUCAAAGUUGGACGGUUAAAAAGGUAAAACAUAGAGAGAAUUAAAACAAAAAUUGUCAAAAUAAAAAUUGAAAUAUGGAAAGUUUGAUUCGUGAUCUUCUUUGAAAGAUUUAAAGAAAUCAAACAGCGCUUGAAUUUCGCAAUACUUGGACAUCAAUCUAAUGCAGAACGGAAAGGGCAUGCGAAGAAAUCAAGAAUUGGAUUUUAAAAGAUUCGAUUCGUUCAAUACUUCCCUACAAGCUUUAAAAUUUAAUUCAAUAUAAAGCAGCUCAGUUUGGGGAACUACAAGAAUCAACAGAGAAAACAAGUAAGAAAUACAUCAAUUCGGGGAGAUAAUUUGAACAGUAAUUAGAAGCAAUUCGCAGACAGUAAUUCCUAGCCUCAAUUAUACCAAGAAAAGAAACUAGCCUCCAAACAAAACCAAACCCAGCAAAUUAACCCAGAAGCUCAAUUAACCUAACAAACCCAGAAAUUUAAUCACCCACACUCGAACCUAACAAAAAACAGUCACAACCCACAAUAUACACAAUUAUCAGAAAAUAGCAGCAAUCAAACACAAACAACAAAAAUAAAAAAGGAAAUUUUCGAGGAUUUUAUUUUUAAGGAUUUCUGGGUUUCAUUGGUUAGAGGGUGAAAGGAAGGUUUUAUCAUUUUGGGUUUUAAAACGGCGGACAAAGUUGAGAACGGCAAGGACUGGUAGAGAUAAUGGGUUGUGACCGGCUUAUGGGUUUUUGAGUUAUGCCGAUUUGAUGUUGAUUCUUGAGGAUUUGAAAGUGGCUUGGGAGUUUAGAAAGAGCCAGGACGCUGGUGAUCGGCGGUUGCCGACGAUGACGGCGGAAACAGCGACAGCAUUCGGUUGUUUUCUAGGUUUAGGGAAGAAACUCUCGAGUGAAAAGGGGGCGUUUGGAAGCUAGAGAGAGAAG